GACGAACGCUGGCGGCGUGCUUAACACAUGCAAGUCGAACGGAAAGGCCCUGCUUUUGUGGGGUGCUCGAGUGGCGAACGGGUGAGUAACACGUGAGUAACCUGCCCUUGACUUUGGGAUAACUUCAGGAAACUGGGGCUAAUACCGGAUAGGAGCUCCUGCUGCAGGGUGGGGGUGGGAAAGUUUCGGCGGUUGGGGAUGGACUCGCGGCUUAUCAGCUUGUUGGUGGGGUAGUGGCUUACCAAGGCAUUGACGGGUAGCCGGCCUGAGAGGGUGACCGGCCACCUUGGGACUGAGAUACGGACCAGUCUCCUACGGGAGGCAGCAGUGGGGAAUCUUGCACAAUGGGCGGAAGCCUGAUGCAGCAACGCCGCGUGCGGGAUGACGGCCUUCGGGUUGUAAACAGCUUUAGCCUGUGACGAAGCGUGAGUGACGGUAAUGGGUAAAGAAGCACCGGCUAACUACGUG
This 468-nucleotide ribosomal RNA is filed under the name uncultured bacterium. RNAcentral's name for it is "partial 16S ribosomal RNA". It matches the Rfam family "Bacterial small subunit ribosomal RNA", at positions 28 to 507 of the family's 1533-position model. The record is from RNAcentral.